RNAcentral lists this ribosomal RNA (164 nucleotides) under Comarum palustre. RNAcentral describes it as "5.8S ribosomal RNA". It matches the Rfam family "5.8S ribosomal RNA". From Rfam's summary of the family: 5.8S ribosomal RNA (5.8S rRNA) is a component of the large subunit of the eukaryotic ribosome. It is transcribed by RNA polymerase I as part of the 45S precursor that also contains 18S and 28S rRNA. Functionally, it is thought that 5.8S rRNA may be involved in ribosome translocation. The record is from RNAcentral. Lineage: Eukaryota; Viridiplantae; Streptophyta; Magnoliopsida; Rosales; Rosaceae.
UAAACGACUCUCGACAACGGAUAUCUCGGYUCUCGCAUCGAUGAAGAACGUAGCGAAAUGCGAUACUUGGUGUGAAUUGCAGAAUCCCGUGAACCAUCGAGUUUUKGAACGCAAGUUGCGCCCGAAGCCGUUAGGCCAAGGGNACGUCUGCCUGGGCGUSACAU